Molecule: long non-coding RNA, 2415 nt
Organism: Trachemys scripta elegans
Lineage: Eukaryota; Metazoa; Chordata; Testudines; Emydidae
Exons: 6
Source: RefSeq, a predicted model, not a curated record
CGUGAAGGCGGCUCCUGACGUCGCAGGUUCUAGUCUCAGGCUGGACGCCGCUGGGGGGCUCAGGUCUGUAUCCCUCAGCCCGGCCUCGAAGCUGGUGUAUUCUUGCGGGCCCCAGCCCGGAUAACCUCUUUCUCUCCAACCCCAGAUCCUGCUGCAAAGGGACAUCCAAGGACCCCCACAGAGCAUGGCCCCAAGCAUUGCAAGGCCAAAAAUCCUGUCCCUUUCUCCCUGCACUCAGUGCUGCAUUGGAUCCACUGCAUCUGGGGCCCUCUGUGGCUAAAGGGGCAGGAUUUGUCCACAAAAAUAGGCAAAUCUCCAUUAGCAGUAUAGAGCUAUGACACAUCAUUUAACAGUUCUGAUUUCAUCCACUUGAGAACUCUUCUGUCAUUGUCACUAUCUUCCCAGGUAUGCCAAGUCACUUCAUCAGAUACGACAAACUUGCUUGAUGCACUGAAUCAAAGGCCUGAUGGAAGUCUAUAAAAAGUGCUGCUCAUGGCUUAUGAAAUGCAGCCAUCUUCUCAAAAAGCUGUCUCCAGAUGCUGCUGCUGAGACCAGGACUCGAUAGAUGACAGCGACCCACCGGACCACGAUCACCACUGGAACAGCUACUGCAGCGGAGAAUGGCGAUGAAUGACUAUGAAGAAUCAGUAGGAGACACAUUUUUUGUCUCUGCGAACCGAUACAUCAGUGACUGUUGAUAACCAAUGAUUGUUAACGAGGACAUGAUCAAUAACAGUCCUAGUGAAACCAUCUGGGCUGUACCUGCUCUGUUUGUGAAUCUUGGGUGAUGGAAGAGUGAAUCAGCAAUCACCAUGUUAUUGGCGGCUGCAAAUUCUAUCAGUUGCCCAUUUCUGUUCAUCUGCUGGAUACCAAACUUCCUGAGAGUACUUGUGCAGGUCACUAUCCUUUCCUACUCGUGUAUUAAAGUUGCCCAGGAUCAUGAUGACCUCUCUUCUCAGAGUUUCAUUAUGGAUUGAUUGCAGUUGUUGGUAAAUAUCUUCAGCUACGUUAUAGGCCUUGGUUGGACCACACAUGGCAACGAUGGUAAGAUGUCCGCAGCCAUUAUGGAAUUGGCUGCUGAAAAGUCACUUCUUAAUCAGCUGCCAUCCCUGCAGUGCCUAUUGGGCAAUGGGUGAAAGUACAAUGGCCAUUCCUUGCUGGAAAACCUGUCGGGAUGGCCUGAGAACAAAAAAGGAUAAUCCUCAACUUUCUUUUCACCACUCCUGGCCAGUGUAGUUUAGAUAAAAUACAGAUAUCAAUGUUCAGACUUUUCAAUUGCUUGAUUUAACUGUUUCAGAAUGUGUUUUGAUGUUCCAGGCACCAAUUUUACAUUUACCACCAACAUGCAGAAUACUGGAAUAGCCCUUUUGCAAGGUUUCUUUGGUCAUUUUUGCAUAAAUGGCAGGUUGAUUCAGGACAAUUGACCAGAUUGUUGCAGGUGGUUGGCAGGUAUUAAACACUCUCAACAAACCGGAGUCUCUCGUACUCAAAUUUUGUUUAAUUUACCUUUCAUUUGGUUUUAUUAGCAAAUUCUGUUUUUCCUCUAGUUUGGAAUAACUGAGCUCCUGUAGAAAGCAACAGCCUUGUUAAUUUGCCCAUUACCAUCUGUGAAGGUGAUGCCAUUCCUUCUCUUGGUAUAUUCUUAAAUCCAGUGCAACUAAAUACAGAUGCUUAUUGUUAUGGUUGGCUGACUUCAAGAGACUUUUCACUGUCUGUCUGAAUAGCUCUCUCAGACAUCCUGUUGCUCUGAGGAUAUUUUGGUGAUAAUCUCAGAUUUUAGUGAAUUCUUGAAAUAAUGUAUUUAACUAUUGGGGUCCAUUAUCAGCAAUCAGAACCUGUAGUAUUUCAUGCCUUGCAAACUGUGAUUUUAGUAUAGGUGAUCUCCAUUCUACUGCUUGUGUUUGUUUGUUAGUUUUGAGAGCUACAUGCAUUUAGAGCAAUAAUCAAAGAACAGUAAACAGAUUUCUUUGUCCAAUUCAAAUUAGUUCAUUUUUUCAGUCUGUGUUUACAUUGUGGCCAAAGUUACCUACCUGUUGGGAAGGAUAUUUGAUACUUGUUUGUCUUCUGAUUACUUAUCUGCAUUUGUGAUUUGCCUCUACAGUAAAAUUUUCACUUACAUAAUCUUCAUGCCAAUAGAAGUAUAAUAAUUUUCCUUCCACAUACAUGGUCACAAGCUUCAGUUUCAGAUCUUCUUUCCUUUUCUUAAUCUGUUUUAUAACAGAUGGUCAAUAUAUUUCUUCACUCUCUCCCCCCUCUUACUCCAUCUCUGGACUAGUUAUCUGAGAUAACUGUUUAAGAAAUGGUGCUGUCCAGUGACGAGGUGGCUGUGUAAUGUGAAAUAAAUGUGACCUAAAUGCUUUCAAGUGGAUUAAAGUAAAUAUCAAUUAUGUGAAAAUGAGAACAGAAAUGUAUAGA